Molecule: transfer RNA, 70 nt
Filed under: Danionella translucida
Lineage: Eukaryota; Metazoa; Chordata; Actinopteri; Cypriniformes; Danionidae
Also listed under: 1 other name
Rfam family: tRNA
About the family: Transfer RNA (tRNA) molecules are approximately 80 nucleotides in length.
Source: Rfam by way of RNAcentral
GGCUCGUUGGUCUAGGGGUAUGAUUCUCGCUUUGGGUGCGAGAGGUCCAGGUUCAAAUCCCGGAGAGCCC